Molecule: ribosomal RNA, 752 nt
Filed under: Campylobacter jejuni
Lineage: Bacteria; Pseudomonadati; Campylobacterota; Epsilonproteobacteria; Campylobacterales; Campylobacteraceae
Description: partial 23S ribosomal RNA
Rfam family: Bacterial large subunit ribosomal RNA
Source: RNAcentral
UAAAUACUAAUACCAGAUCGAUAGUGCACAAGUACCGUGAGGGAAAGGUGAAAAGAACUGAGGUGAUCAGAGUGAAAUAGAACCUGAAACCAUUUGCUUACAAUCAUUCAGAGCACUAUGUAGCAAUACAGUGUGAUGGACUGCCUUUUGCAUAAUGAGCCUGCGAGUUGUGGUGUCUGGCAAGGUUAAGCAAACGCGAAGCCGUAGCGAAAGCGAGUCUGAAUAGGGCGCUUAGUCAGAUGCUGCAGACCCGAAACGAAGUGAUCUAUCCAUGAGCAAGUUGAAGCUAGUGUAAGAACUAGUGGAGGACUGAACCCAUAGGCGUUGAAAAGCCCCGGGAUGACUUGUGGAUAGGGGUGAAAGGCCAAUCAAACUUCGUGAUAGCUGGUUCUCUCCGAAAUAUAUUUAGGUAUAGCGUUGUGUCGUAAUAUAAGGGGGUAGAGCACUGAAUGGGCUAGGGCAUACACCAAUGUACCAAACCCUAUCAAACUCCGAAUACCUUAUAUGUAAUCACAGCAGUCAGGCGGCGAGUGAUAAAAUCCGUCGUCAAGAGGGAAACAACCCAGACUACCAGCUAAGGUCCCUAAAUCUUACUUAAGUGGAAAACGAUGUGAAGUUACUUAAACAACCAGGAGGUUGGCUUAGAAGCAGCCAUCCUUUAAAGAAAGCGUAAUAGCUCACUGGUCUAGUGAUUUUGCGCGGAAAAUAUAACGGGGCUAAAGUAAGUACCGAAGCUGUAGACUUGCACACAA